RNAcentral lists this non-coding RNA (241 nucleotides) under Candidatus Hodgkinia cicadicola. Lineage: Bacteria; Pseudomonadati; Pseudomonadota; Alphaproteobacteria; Hyphomicrobiales. The record is from RNAcentral.
AGGAAAGUCUAGUCCCUUAUAAACAAACGCCAUAGUGUUGUGAAUGCGAUAACGUUAGCGCUUAGGUAAGCGAACGGGGAUACAAUAGCUCUUAUUCCUCUCGCAACGAGAAUGAAAGCGUUUGCCCCUCCGAAGUUUGUUUGAGGAUAAGGUUUAAUAUAUUGAAUAUCGCUUGGUUUUGCCCAGAAGAAUUGCUGCGGGGGUGGGCGCUGCCUCACUCAACUAAACUUAGCUUACCGCU